UUUUGGAUAGCCAACUGGUAAAGGCACCGGAUUUAGUUUCCGCUAACGGGGGUUCGAAUCCCUCUCCAAAAC
RNAcentral lists this transfer RNA (72 nucleotides) under Roseibium aggregatum. Its description in RNAcentral is "tRNA-Leu". It matches the Rfam family "tRNA". Rfam says of the family: Transfer RNA (tRNA) molecules are approximately 80 nucleotides in length. Lineage: Bacteria; Pseudomonadati; Pseudomonadota; Alphaproteobacteria; Hyphomicrobiales; Stappiaceae. The record is from RNAcentral. RNAcentral also lists the same sequence under 1 other name.